Centruroides sculpturatus (bark scorpion) is the source of this 305-nucleotide long non-coding RNA. RefSeq lists it as uncharacterized. The transcript is spliced from 3 exons. The record is from RefSeq and is a predicted model, not a curated record. Lineage: Eukaryota; Metazoa; Arthropoda; Arachnida; Scorpiones; Buthidae.
AUCAACAGUCAGUCAUUUACUGUGGAGAAGAUAAUGCUUGGAUUGGAAGAACCUGUGAAUAUACUGAAUGUUCAAAUUUGCUGUCGAUAACAAAUGGAAAAGUUAAAUUUAUUAAUCGAGUGCCAAAUAGAAUUGCCUCUUACAAAUGCAAUGAGGGAUACAGAGAAGUGGGUCAAUCAUUCUCUAUUUGUCUACAGAAUGGUUCUUGGAGUUAUACAAAUUUUUAUUGUCAUGAAGUACCAAAUAUAGCCUCUAAUUUCAUUGGUAAGUCCUUUUUUGUUAUAUAUUUGUUUAAAUAUAGCAAC